CUCCGCCGGCGACCGGCGCACGGGUGAGUAACACGUAUGAAACCUGCCCGUAGCAGGGGGAUAAGCGGAAGAAAUUCCGUCUAAUACCGCGUAACAACGUUGGGAGGCAUCUCCCGAUGUUUAAAGAUUUAUCGGCUGCGGAUGGCCAUGCGGCGCAUUAGCUAGUCGGCGGGGUAACAGCCCACCGAGGCGACGAUGCGUAGGGGUUCUGAGAGGAAGGUCCCCCACACUGGUACUGAGACACGGACCAGACUCCUACGGAAGGCAGCAG
Molecule: ribosomal RNA, 271 nt
Filed under: uncultured bacterium
Lineage: Bacteria
Description: partial 16S ribosomal RNA
Rfam family: Bacterial small subunit ribosomal RNA
Source: RNAcentral